UUCCUACGGGACGCAGCAGUGAGGAAUAUUGGUCAAUGGGCGCGAGCCUGAACCAGCCAAGUCGCGUGAGGGAAGACGGUCCUAUGGAUUGUAAACCUCUUUUGUCGGGGAGCAAAAGACGCCACGCGUGGCGUUCCGAGAGUACCCGAAGAAAAAGCAUCGGCUAACUCCGUGCCAGCAGCCGCGGUAAUACGUAGGUGGCGAGCGUUAUCCGGAAUGAUUGGGCGUAAAGGGUGCGUAGGCGGCCUGCUAAGUCUGGAGUGAAAGGUACCGGCUCAACCGGUACAGGCUCUGGAAACUGGCGG
RNAcentral lists this ribosomal RNA (305 nucleotides) under uncultured bacterium. RNAcentral describes it as "bacterial SSU rRNA". It matches the Rfam family "Bacterial small subunit ribosomal RNA", at positions 336 to 639 of the family's 1533-position model. The record is from RNAcentral.